AUGAAAAGCAACAGCAGCGAGCGGCUCCAGGAGAGGGACUGCUCGGCAAAGGUCAUGGAGGCAGGGUCGGCCGGAGCUUCGAGCUCGGCGUCCAUGGUAGGACGACGAGGAGGCCGGAGGAGGAGGGCCAUGGAGGAGGCGCAGGAGUCCCGCCAGCGAGGAGAAGCAGAGGCUUCAAGGCGGCGGAGGUCGCCGACAGAGGGACCUGGCGUGGGGGUCGAGCAGGGAGCGAGAGAGGAGGAGGCAAAGGAGAUCGGGCGCUCUCCCUGGCGUCGAUGUGUGGCGGCGGCACAGGAACGAGGGGGGAGAGAUGGGGAUCGGGAGAGAGCGUGGCUGCGAGGCUAG
Molecule: ribosomal RNA, 345 nt
Filed under: Triticum aestivum (bread wheat)
Lineage: Eukaryota; Viridiplantae; Streptophyta; Magnoliopsida; Poales; Poaceae
Description: partial small subunit ribosomal RNA
Source: RNAcentral